AUCGCUUCUCGGCCUUUUGGCUAAGAUCAAGUGUAGUAUCUGUUCUUAUCAGUUUAAUAAAUCUCUUUCUGAACAUACCCUGAACUACAGUGGAUUAAUCUCAAUAGUAUAUUAUGUACUAAAAUAUAU
Molecule: small nuclear RNA, 129 nt
Filed under: Panthera leo (lion)
Lineage: Eukaryota; Metazoa; Chordata; Mammalia; Carnivora; Felidae
Description: U2 spliceosomal RNA (ENSPLOG00000005588.1)
Rfam family: U2 spliceosomal RNA
About the family: U2 is a small nuclear RNA (snRNA) component of the spliceosome (involved in pre-mRNA splicing). Complementary binding between U2 snRNA (in an area lying towards the 5' end but 3' to hairpin I) and the branchpoint sequence (BPS) of the intron results the bulging out of an unpaired adenosine, on the BPS, which initiates a nucleophilic attack at the intronic 5' splice site, thus starting the first of two transesterification reactions that mediate splicing.
Source: Rfam by way of RNAcentral